Molecule: unclassified non-coding RNA, 181 nt
Filed under: uncultured Tumularia
Lineage: Eukaryota; Fungi; Ascomycota
Description: sequence contains ITS1
Source: RNAcentral
AAGAGUAAGGGUCUCUGGCCCGAACCUCCAACCCUCUGUUGUUAUAACUACUUCGUUGCUUUGGCGGGACCGCAAAGGUUCUCCCGAGCGCGCCGGUCUUCGGACAGGCGAGCGCCCGCCAGAGUCUAACCAAACUCUUGUUUUAAACCAGUCGUCUGAGUAUAAAAUUUUAAUUAAAUUA